UUUCCGUAGGUGAACCUGCGGAAGGAUCAUUAUCGUACAAAAUGUGAGGGGCAUUCGAGGGCUGUAGCUGAUCCUCAAGUCGUGCAAGACCAAGCGGGACCUCUUGCAUAAUAAUCCACUUCAUACUUUGUGCAUGACCGCGUGGGCACUCUUCGGGAUACUUUCGGAGGGGGGCUUGCGUUUUAACACAACCUCCACUUUUAAACGAGUAAGAUGUCCACAUUUUUGCAUUAAAUACAACUCUCAACAACGGAUCUUUUGGCUCUCGCAUCGAUGAAA
This 279-nucleotide unclassified non-coding RNA is filed under the name plant metagenome. RNAcentral describes it as "partial contains small subunit ribosomal RNA, internal transcribed spacer 1, and 5.8S ribosomal RNA". The record is from RNAcentral.